UCAUGGAUGAAAUACAUCGAAAGGAUAAAUGCAAGAUAGAUAGUGUGUAUUAUUCAUAUAUGAAAUAUAGAUGGAGUUAUACAUGUUAUUGUGUCAGUGAUUAUAAUCCUGACACACGAACUGAGAUACAUGCAUUAAAUUGCACUUUCGAACAUUCCAGUGGCAAAGACAUGGUCAGCAAACAGAACAAGUAUAUUCUACGAAGAAACUGCAAAUGCGGAACGCUUGUCGAUGUUGUAGGGCCUACAGCUGAUGUAAACUAAGUACUUUAAGAUUCGAUGAGGUUAUGAAAGAGGACGAUUACAGGCAUCCUAUUUGAAAGCUAUUAAAUCAAGGCACAACUUUCACCUUCCUGUCAAGGCACAAAUUUCACCUUUUAAUAGAAGAGAACUAUAAAACUUUUACUGGCACCCUCCUUGUAUUCCACUGCUAACUGCUCGCCUACUCUGCAGCAAAGAAACCAUAAAAAGAUACUUUACGAACGAUUUUACAGCGAAAAGUAAUAGAAACUCUUCCAGUCACUGGAACUAUACGUUUUUAAGUCUGUUAAAAACUGUUAAUUUAUAAAAAUACCUUUUUGCACUGCUUUUAUAUUUCUUCUCCACUCUCACAUUUCUGCAGUACUUUACAUUUAUAUUAUUUUGUUAUUGUUAUUAUUAUUAUUAUUAUUAUUAUUAUUGAUAUAUGUCGUGCGGCAUUACAUAAGUAAUAUGUAGGCCUAUUAUUAUUAGUUCACAGUUUACUACAAACCCCCUUUAAUCAGUUCAUAUCCUCAUUAUCAUUUUGUAACUAUUAUUAUUAAUGUCAAUGUAGUCAUUUUAAAACUUACAUUGCAUUUUAAUGUGCGUGUAUUUAUUUACCGUAGUUGCAUUAAAAGCUCUAAAACCUUGCUACAAA
Long non-coding RNA from Anneissia japonica, 897 nucleotides. RefSeq lists it as uncharacterized. NCBI's taxonomy places the organism in Eukaryota, Metazoa, Echinodermata, Crinoidea, Comatulida, Comatulidae. The record is from RefSeq and is a predicted model, not a curated record. The transcript is spliced from 2 exons.